RNAcentral lists this ribosomal RNA (936 nucleotides) under uncultured bacterium. RNAcentral describes it as "bacterial SSU rRNA". It matches the Rfam family "Bacterial small subunit ribosomal RNA", at positions 8 to 916 of the family's 1533-position model. The record is from RNAcentral.
AGAGUUUGAUCCUGGCUCAGAACGAACGCUGGCGGCGUGGAUAAGACAUGCAAGUCGAACGCUGAUUAGAGGGUAGCAAUAUUCUCUAGUCGGAGUGGCGCAAGGGUGCGUAACACGUGGGUAAUCUGCCGUGAAGCCUGGGAUAACUCGCUGAAAGGCGAGCUAAUACCGGAUGAGACUGUUGGGAGGCAUCUCUCGACAUUGGAAGCUGGGGACCGCAAGGCCUGGCACUUCACGAUGAGCCCGCGGCCUAUCAGCUAGUUGGUGAGGUAACGGCCCACCAAGGCUAAGACGGGUAGCUGGUCUGAGAGGACGACCAGCCACACUGGAACUGAGACACGGUCCAGACACCUACGGGUGGCAGCAGUCGAGAAUUUUUCACAAUGGGCGCAAGCCUGAUGGAGCGACGCCGCGUGGGGGAUGAAGGGUUUCGAUCCGUAAACCCCUGUCAUUUGCGAACAAACCUUAACCGAUAACACCGGUUAAGCUGAUUGUAGUGAAAGAGGAAGGGACGGCUAACUCUGUGCCAGCAGCCGCGGUAAUACAGAGGUCCCAAGCGUUGUUCGGAUUCACUGGGCGUAAAGGGUGCGUAGGUGGCCGGGAAAGUUCGAUGUGAAAGCUCGGAGCUCAACUUCGAAAUGGCAUUGAAUACUAUUCGGCUUGAGGGUCGGAGGGGAGACUGGAAUUCUCGGUGUAGCAGUGAAAUGCGUAGACAUCGAGAGGAACACCAGUGGCGAAGGCGAGUCUCUGGACGACACCUGACACUGAGGCACGAAAGCUAGGGGAGCAAACAGGAUUAGAUACCCUGGUAGUCCUAGCUGUAAACGGUGCACGUUUGCUGUAAGGGGAAUCGACCCCCUUUGUGGCGAAGCUAACGCGAUAAACGUGCCGCCUGGGGAGUACGGUCGCAAGAUUAAAACUCAAAGGAAUUGACGG